GACGAACGCUGGCGGCGUGCUUAACACAUGCAAGUCGAACGGAAAGGCCCUGCUUGCAGGGUACUCGAGUGGCGAACGGGUGAGUAACACGUGGGUGAUCUGCCCUGCACUUCGGGAUAAGCCUGGGAAACUGGGUCUAAUACCGGAUAGGAGCCUUUUUUAGUGUGAUGGUUGGAAAGUUUUUUCGGUGUAGGAUGAGCUCGCGGCCUAUCAGCUUGUUUGUGGGGUAAUGGCCUACCAAGGCGGCGACGGGUAGCCGGCCUGGGGGGGUGGACGGCCACAUUGGGACUGAGAUACGGCCCAGACUCCUACGGGAGGCAGCAGUGGGGAAUAUUGCACAAUGGGCGCAAGCCUGAUGCAGCGACGCCGCGUGGGGGAUGACGGCCUUCGGGUUGUAAACUCCUUUCGCUAGGGACGAAGCUUUUUGUGACGGUACCUAGAUAAGAAGCACCGGCUAACUACGUG
RNAcentral lists this ribosomal RNA (465 nucleotides) under uncultured bacterium. Its description in RNAcentral is "partial 16S ribosomal RNA". It matches the Rfam family "Bacterial small subunit ribosomal RNA", at positions 28 to 507 of the family's 1533-position model. The record is from RNAcentral.